CAGAAAAGAGAUCCAGGACUUCUUC
This 25-nucleotide non-coding RNA is filed under the name Cricetulus griseus (Chinese hamster). Lineage: Eukaryota; Metazoa; Chordata; Mammalia; Rodentia; Cricetidae. The record is from RNAcentral.